Molecule: ribosomal RNA, 501 nt
Filed under: uncultured bacterium
Lineage: Bacteria
Description: partial 16S ribosomal RNA
Rfam family: Bacterial small subunit ribosomal RNA
Source: RNAcentral
AUAGAACGCUGGCGGCAUGCCUUACACAUGCAAGUCGAACGGCAGCACGGGUGCUUGCACCUGGUGGCGAGUGGCGAACGGGUGAGUAAUAUAUCGGAACGUACCUUAUUGUGGGGGAUAACGCAGCGAAAGCUGUGCUAAUACCGCAUAAUCCCUAAGGGGGAAAGCGGGGGACCGUAAGGCCUCGCGCAAUUAGAGCGGCCGAUACCUGAUUAGCUAGUUGGUGAGGUAAAGGCUAACCAAGGCAACGAUCAGUAGCUGGUCUGAGAGGACGAUCAGCCACACUGGGACUGAGACACGGCCCAGACUCCUACGGGAGGCAGCAGUGGGGAAUUUUGGACAAUGGGGGCAACCCUGAUCCAGCAAUGCCGCGUGAGUGAAGAAGGCCUUCGGGUUGUAAAGCUCUUUUGUCAGGGAAGAAACAGCAGCUCUAACACAGUUUGCGAAUGACGGUACCUGAAGAAUAAGCACCGGCUAACUACGUGCCAGCCGCCGCAGUAA